CAAUGAAGUGCAAGACUGGAUAGGAAAUAAAAAGGCAUCUUUUUAUUUUUAAAAGACCUUUUUCGGAAGGUAUGCUUAAAGAGGGGCUUGCGUCACAUUAGUUAGUUGGCAGGGUAAAGGCCUACCAAGACUAUGAUGUGUAGCUGGACUGAGAGGUUGAACAGCCACAUUGGGACUGAGACACGGCCCAAACUCCUACGGGAGGCAGCAGUAGGGAAUUUUCGGCAAUGGAGGAAACUCUGACCGAGCAACGCCGCGUGAACGAUGAAGUAUUUCGGUAUGUAAAGUUCUUUUAUUGAAGAAGAAAAAAUAGUGGAAAAACUAUCUUGACGAUAUUCAAUGAAUAAGCCCCGGCAAACUAUGUGCCAGCAGCCGCGGUAAUACAUAGGGGGCGAGCGUUAUCCGGAAUUAUUGGGCGUAAAGGGUGCGUAGGCGGUUUAAUAAGUCUAUAGUUUAAUUUCAGUGCUUAACACUGUCCUGCUAUAGAAACUAUUAGACUAGAGUGAGAUAGAGGCAAGUGGAAUUCCAUGUGUAGCGGUGAAAUGCGUAAAUAUAUGGAGGAACACCAGAGGCGUAGGCGGCUUGCUGGGUCUUUACUGACACUGAGCACGAAAGCGUGUGGAGCAAACAAGAUUAGAUACCCUGGUAGUCCACGCCGUAAACGAUGAGUACUAAGUGUCGGGAUUACUCGGUACUGAAGUUAACACAUUAAGUACUCCGCCUGAGUAGUACGUACGCAAGUAUGAAACUUAAAGGAAUUGACGGGACUCCGCACAAGCGGUGGAUCAUGUUGUUUAAUUCGAAGAUACACGAAAAACCUUACCAGGUCUUGACAUACUCUGCAAAGCUAUAGCAAUAUAGUGGAGGUUAUCAGGGAUACAGGUGGUGCAUGGUUGUCGUCAGCUCGUGUCGUGAGAUGUUAGGUUAAGUCCUAAAACGAGCGCAACCCUUGUCAUUAGUUGCCAGCAUGUCAUGAUGGGCACUUUAAUGAGACUGCCAAUGAAAAAUUGGAGGAAGGUGAGGAUCACGUCAAAUCAUCAUGCCCCUUAUGAUCUGGGCUACAAACGUGAUACAAUGGCUGUUACAAAGAGUAGCUGAAACGCAAGUUUAUAGCCAAUCUCAUAAAAGCAGUCUCAGUUCGGAUUGAAGUCUGCAACUCGACUUCAUGAAGUUGGAAUCGCUAGUAAUCGCGAAUCAGCAUGUCGCGGUGAAUACGUUCUCGGGGUUUGUACACACCGCCCGUCA
RNAcentral lists this ribosomal RNA (1245 nucleotides) under Candidatus Phytoplasma sacchari. Its description in RNAcentral is "bacterial SSU rRNA". It matches the Rfam family "Bacterial small subunit ribosomal RNA", at positions 154 to 1399 of the family's 1533-position model. The record is from RNAcentral. Lineage: Bacteria; Bacillati; Mycoplasmatota; Mollicutes; Acholeplasmatales; Acholeplasmataceae.